RNAcentral lists this ribosomal RNA (606 nucleotides) under Alternaria senecionicola. RNAcentral describes it as "LSU rRNA". It matches the Rfam family "Eukaryotic large subunit ribosomal RNA", at positions 34 to 655 of the family's 3401-position model. The record is from RNAcentral. Lineage: Eukaryota; Fungi; Ascomycota; Dothideomycetes; Pleosporales; Pleosporaceae.
UUAAGCAUAUCAAUAAGCGGAGGAAAAGAAACCAACAGGGAUUGCCCUAGUAACGGCGAGUGAAGCGGCAACAGCUCAAAUUUGAAAUCUGGCUCUUUUAGAGUCCGAGUUGUAAUUUGCAGAGGGCGCUUUGGCUUUGGCAGCGGUCCAAGUUCCUUGGAACAGGACGUCACAGAGGGUGAGAAUCCCGUACGUGGUCGCUGGCUAUUGCCGUGUAAAGCCCCUUCGACGAGUCGAGUUGUUUGGGAAUGCAGCUCUAAAUGGGAGGUACAUUUCUUCUAAAGCUAAAUAUUGGCCAGAGACCGAUAGCGCACAAGUAGAGUGAUCGAAAGAUGAAAAGCACUUUGGAAAGAGAGUCAAACAGCACGUGAAAUUGUUGAAAGGGAAGCGCUUGCAGCCAGACUUGCUUACAGUUGCUCAUCCGGGUUUUUACCCGGUGCACUCUUCUGUAGGCAGGCCAGCAUCAGUUUGGGCGGUAGGAUAAAGGUCUCUGUCACGUACCUCCUUUCGGGGAGGCCUUAUAGGGGAGACGACAUACUACCAGCCUGGACUGAGGUCCGCGCAUCUGCUAGGAUGCUGGCGUAAUGGCUGUAAGCGGCCCGUCUG